UACGUAGGGGGCAAGCGUUAUCCGGAUUUACUGGGUGUAAAGGGGGCGCAGACGGCAGCGCAAGCCAGGAGUGAAAGCCCGGGGCCCAACCCCGGGACUGCUCUUGGAACUGCGCGGCUGGAGUGCAGGAGGGGCAGGCGGAAUUCCUGGUGUAGCGGUGAAAUGCGUAGAUAUCAGGGGGAACACCGGUGGCGAAGGCGGCCUGCUGGACUGCGACUGACGUUGAGGCCCGAAAGCGUGGGGAGCAAACAGG
Molecule: ribosomal RNA, 253 nt
Filed under: uncultured bacterium
Lineage: Bacteria
Description: partial 16S ribosomal RNA
Rfam family: Bacterial small subunit ribosomal RNA
Source: RNAcentral